Molecule: ribosomal RNA, 2903 nt
Filed under: Escherichia coli
Lineage: Bacteria; Pseudomonadati; Pseudomonadota; Gammaproteobacteria; Enterobacterales; Enterobacteriaceae
Description: 23S ribosomal RNA
Rfam family: Bacterial large subunit ribosomal RNA
Source: RNAcentral
GGUUAAGCGACUAAGCGUACACGGUGGAUGCCCUGGCAGUCAGAGGCGAUGAAGGACGUGCUAAUCUGCGAUAAGCGUCGGUAAGGUGAUAUGAACCGUUAUAACCGGCGAUUUCCGAAUGGGGAAACCCAGUGUGUUUCGACACACUAUCAUUAACUGAAUCCAUAGGUUAAUGAGGCGAACCGGGGGAACUGAAACAUCUAAGUACCCCGAGGAAAAGAAAUCAACCGAGAUUCCCCCAGUAGCGGCGAGCGAACGGGGAGCAGCCCAGAGUCUGAAUCAGUGUGUGUGUUAGUGGAAGCGUCUGGAAAGGCGCGCGAUACAGGGUGACAGCCCCGUACACAAAAAUGCACAUGCUGUGAGCUCGAUGAGUAGGGCGGGACACGUGGUAUCCUGUCUGAAUAUGGGGGGACCAUCCUCCAAGGCUAAAUACUCCUGACUGACCGAUAGUGAACCAGUACCGUGAGGGAAAGGCGAAAAGAACCCCGGCGAGGGGAGUGAAAAAGAACCUGAAACCGUGUACGUACAAGCAGUGGGAGCCUCUUUAUGGGGUGACUGCGUACCUUUUGUAUAAUGGGUCAGCGACUUAUAUUCUGUAGCAAGGUUAACCGAAUAGGGGAGCCGAAGGGAAACCGAGUCUUAACUGGGCGUUAAGUUGCAGGGUAUAGACCCGAAACCCGGUGAUCUAGCCAUGGGCAGGUUGAAGGUUGGGUAACACUAACUGGAGGACCGAACCGACUAAUGUUGAAAAAUUAGCGGAUGACUUGUGGCUGGGGGUGAAAGGCCAAUCAAACCGGGAGAUAGCUGGUUCUCCCCGAAAGCUAUUUAGGUAGCGCCUCGUGAAUUCAUCUCCGGGGGUAGAGCACUGUUUCGGCAAGGGGGUCAUCCCGACUUACCAACCCGAUGCAAACUGCGAAUACCGGAGAAUGUUAUCACGGGAGACACACGGCGGGUGCUAACGUCCGUCGUGAAGAGGGAAACAACCCAGACCGCCAGCUAAGGUCCCAAAGUCAUGGUUAAGUGGGAAACGAUGUGGGAAGGCCCAGACAGCCAGGAUGUUGGCUUAGAAGCAGCCAUCAUUUAAAGAAAGCGUAAUAGCUCACUGGUCGAGUCGGCCUGCGCGGAAGAUGUAACGGGGCUAAACCAUGCACCGAAGCUGCGGCAGCGACGCUUAUGCGUUGUUGGGUAGGGGAGCGUUCUGUAAGCCUGUGAAGGUGUACUGUGAGGUAUGCUGGAGGUAUCAGAAGUGCGAAUGCUGACAUAAGUAACGAUAAAGCGGGUGAAAAGCCCGCUCGCCGGAAGACCAAGGGUUCCUGUCCAACGUUAAUCGGGGCAGGGUGAGUCGACCCCUAAGGCGAGGCCGAAAGGCGUAGUCGAUGGGAAACAGGUUAAUAUUCCUGUACUUGGUGUUACUGCGAAGGGGGGACGGAGAAGGCUAUGUUGGCCGGGCGACGGUUGUCCCGGUUUAAGCGUGUAGGCUGGUUUUCCAGGCAAAUCCGGAAAAUCAAGGCUGAGGCGUGAUGACGAGGCACUACGGUGCUGAAGCAACAAAUGCCCUGCUUCCAGGAAAAGCCUCUAAGCAUCAGGUAACAUCAAAUCGUACCCCAAACCGACACAGGUGGUCAGGUAGAGAAUACCAAGGCGCUUGAGAGAACUCGGGUGAAGGAACUAGGCAAAAUGGUGCCGUAACUUCGGGAGAAGGCACGCUGAUAUGUAGGUGAAGCGACUUGCUCGUGGAGCUGAAAUCAGUCGAAGAUACCAGCUGGCUGCAACUGUUUAUUAAAAACACAGCACUGUGCAAACACGAAAGUGGACGUAUACGGUGUGACGCCUGCCCGGUGCCGGAAGGUUAAUUGAUGGGGUCAGCGCAAGCGAAGCUCUUGAUCGAAGCCCCGGUAAACGGCGGCCGUAACUAUAACGGUCCUAAGGUAGCGAAAUUCCUUGUCGGGUAAGUUCCGACCUGCACGAAUGGCGUAAUGAUGGCCAGGCUGUCUCCACCCGAGACUCAGUGAAAUUGAACUCGCUGUGAAGAUGCAGUGUACCCGCGGCAAGACGGAAAGACCCCGUGAACCUUUACUAUAGCUUGACACUGAACAUUGAGCCUUGAUGUGUAGGAUAGGUGGGAGGCUUAGAAGUGUGGACGCCAGUCUGCAUGGAGCCGACCUUGAAAUACCACCCUUUAAUGUUUGAUGUUCUAACGUUGACCCGUAAUCCGGGUUGCGGACAGUGUCUGGUGGGUAGUUUGACUGGGGCGGUCUCCUCCUAAAGAGUAACGGAGGAGCACGAAGGUUGGCUAAUCCUGGUCGGACAUCAGGAGGUUAGUGCAAUGGCAUAAGCCAGCUUGACUGCGAGCGUGACGGCGCGAGCAGGUGCGAAAGCAGGUCAUAGUGAUCCGGUGGUUCUGAAUGGAAGGGCCAUCGCUCAACGGAUAAAAGGUACUCCGGGGAUAACAGGCUGAUACCGCCCAAGAGUUCAUAUCGACGGCGGUGUUUGGCACCUCGAUGUCGGCUCAUCACAUCCUGGGGCUGAAGUAGGUCCCAAGGGUAUGGCUGUUCGCCAUUUAAAGUGGUACGCGAGCUGGGUUUAGAACGUCGUGAGACAGUUCGGUCCCUAUCUGCCGUGGGCGCUGGAGAACUGAGGGGGGCUGCUCCUAGUACGAGAGGACCGGAGUGGACGCAUCACUGGUGUUCGGGUUGUCAUGCCAAUGGCACUGCCCGGUAGCUAAAUGCGGAAGAGAUAAGUGCUGAAAGCAUCUAAGCACGAAACUUGCCCCGAGAUGAGUUCUCCCUGACUCCUUGAGAGUCCUGAAGGAACGUUGAAGACGACGACGUUGAUAGGCCGGGUGUGUAAGCGCAGCGAUGCGUUGAGCUAACCGGUACUAAUGAACCGUGAGGCUUAACCUU